This 427-nucleotide ribosomal RNA is filed under the name uncultured bacterium. RNAcentral describes it as "bacterial SSU rRNA". It matches the Rfam family "Bacterial small subunit ribosomal RNA", at positions 355 to 776 of the family's 1533-position model. The record is from RNAcentral.
UCGAGAAUUUUUCACAAUGGGGGAAACCCUGAUGGAGCGACGCCGCGUGGGGGAUGAAUGGCUUCGGCCCGUAAACCCCUGUCAUUUGCGAACAAACCUCACGGUUUAACAGAUUGUGAGCUGAUAGUAUCAGAAGAGGAAGGGACGGCUAACUCUGUGCCAGCAGCCGCGGUAAUACAGAGGUCCCGAGCGUUGUUCGGAUUCACUGGGCGUAAAGGGUGCGUAGGCGGCAGGGUAAGUUUGAGGUGAAAUCUCCGGGCUCAACCCGGAAAAUGCCUCGAAUACUAUCCUGCUGGAGGAUCGGAGGGGAGACUGGAAUUCUUGGUGUAGCGGUGAAAUGCGUAGAUAUCAAGAGGAACACCAGUGGCGAAGGCGGCCAUCUGGCUCGUUACUGACGCUCAGCACGAAAGCGUGGGGAGCAAACAGG